Molecule: unclassified non-coding RNA, 178 nt
Filed under: Tremella sp.
Lineage: Eukaryota; Fungi; Basidiomycota; Tremellomycetes; Tremellales; Tremellaceae
Also listed under: 1 other name
Description: partial internal transcribed spacer 2
Source: RNAcentral
AACCUCAAUCCCCCAGGGUUCUGCUCUGUUGGGUGCAUUGGAUUUGGGCGUUGCCGGCCUGGCCGGCUCGCCUUAAAGGCGUUAGUGGGAUCAGCAGACCCGAUCGGCGUAAUAAGUUUCGCUGAGGAGGUUUGCGCGAGCCCGCUCACAACCCUCUCCUUUGGAGAACACUCUUUUG